UAGGUACCGUCAAGACGCGCAGUUAUUAACUACACGCAUUUCUUCCCUACUGAAAGUGCUUUACAACCCUAAGGCCUUCUUCACACACGCGGCAUUGCUGGAUCAGGCUUGCGCCCAUUAUCCAAUAUUCCCC
RNAcentral lists this ribosomal RNA (133 nucleotides) under uncultured bacterium. RNAcentral describes it as "partial 16S ribosomal RNA". The record is from RNAcentral.